UCGACUGUUUAACAAAAACAUUUCUUUUUUGAGGCAUAAAAAGUAAAACCUGCCCACUGAAAUUUUAAAGGGCCGCGGUAUACUGACCGUGCUAAGGUAGCAUAAUCAUUAGCCUCUUAAUUAGAGGAUGGCAUGAAUGGUUAAACACACAUAACUUUUUUUGUGGAAAAAUAAUGAAUUUCAGCUUAAAGUGAAAAUUCUUUAAUUGUGAAAAAAGACGAUAAGACCCUUUAGAGCUUAAUAUACUUUUUUCAUAAUCUUUAUGGGGGGGUAAAGACUAUGAAAAAAGUAUAUUUAGUUGGGGCAACUUUAGAAUAAUUAUAACUUCUGAUAAUAUAUUAAAACUUCUUUUUUUAAAAAUUAUAAAAAGUUACCUUAGGGAUAACAGCGUAAUUGCUUUUAAGAGUUCUUAUCGAUAAAGCAGUUUGCGACCUCGAUGUUGAAUUAAAAUUUUUUUAAGGGGCAGUACUUUUAUAAAAUAGUCUGUUCGACUAUAAAAUUUUUACAUGAUUUGAGUUCAGACCGGA
RNAcentral lists this ribosomal RNA (527 nucleotides) under Paronellides praefectus. RNAcentral describes it as "partial 16S ribosomal RNA". It matches the Rfam family "Bacterial large subunit ribosomal RNA", at positions 1796 to 2620 of the family's 2925-position model. The record is from RNAcentral. Lineage: Eukaryota; Metazoa; Arthropoda; Collembola; Entomobryomorpha; Paronellidae.